This 292-nucleotide ribosomal RNA is filed under the name uncultured bacterium. RNAcentral's name for it is "partial 16S ribosomal RNA". It matches the Rfam family "Archaeal small subunit ribosomal RNA", at positions 455 to 747 of the family's 1478-position model. The record is from RNAcentral.
GUGCAGCAGCCGCGGUAAUACCGGCAGCUCGAGUGAUGUCCAAUAUUAUUGGGCCUAAAGCGUCCGUAGCUGGCCGCGCAAGUCCGUCGGGAAAUCCACCUGCCCAACAGGUGGGCGUCCGGCGGAAACUGUGUGGCUUGGAACCGGAAGGCUCAGAGGGUACGUCCGGGGUAGGAGUGAAAUCCCGUAAUCCCGGACGGACCACCGAUGGCGAAAGCACUUCGAGAAAACGGAUCCGACAGUGAGGGACGAAAGCUAAGAUCGCGAACCGGAUUAGAUACCCUAGUAGUCC